AACGAACGCUGGCGGCAUGCCUAACACAUGCAAGUCGAACGAGACCUUCGGGUCUAGUGGCGCACGGGUGCGUAACGCGGGGGAACCUGCCCUUAGGUUCGGAAUAACUCCCCGAAAGGGGUGCUAAUACCGGAUAAUGUCUUCGGACCAAAGAUUUGUCGCCUUUGGAUGGGCCCGCGUGGGAUUAGCUAGUUGGUAGGGUAAAAGCCUACCAAGGCGACGAUCCAUAGCUGGUUUGAGAGGAUGAUCAGCCACACUGGGACUGAGACACGGCCCAGACUCCUACGGGAGGCAGCAGUGGGGAAUAUUGGAAAAUGGGCGAAAGCAUGAUCCAGCAAUGCCGCGUGAGUGAUGAAGGCCUUAGGGUUGUAAAGCUCUUUUACCCGGGAUGAUAAUGACAGUACCGGGAGAAUAAGCUCCGGCUAACUUCGUG
This 433-nucleotide ribosomal RNA is filed under the name uncultured bacterium. Its description in RNAcentral is "partial 16S ribosomal RNA". It matches the Rfam family "Bacterial small subunit ribosomal RNA", at positions 29 to 507 of the family's 1533-position model. The record is from RNAcentral.